GCUUCCGUAGCUCAGUUGGAAGAGCGGCCGGCUCUUAACCGGCUUGUCGGUGGUUCGAGUCCAUCCGGAAGCA
RNAcentral lists this transfer RNA (73 nucleotides) under Streptomyces sp. TG1A-8. RNAcentral describes it as "tRNA-Lys". It matches the Rfam family "tRNA". From Rfam's summary of the family: Transfer RNA (tRNA) molecules are approximately 80 nucleotides in length. Their secondary structure includes four short double-helical elements and three loops (D, anti-codon, and T loops). Lineage: Bacteria; Bacillati; Actinomycetota; Actinomycetes; Kitasatosporales; Streptomycetaceae. The record is from RNAcentral.